UUGAAAGGGUUCUCUAAGAGCGAAGUAAUUGAUGAUGACGAUGAUGAUAAUUACAACGAUUUGAAAGGGUUCUCUAAGAGCGAAGUAAUUGAUGAUGACGAUGAUGAUAAUUACAACGAUUUGAAAGGGUUCUCUAAGAGCGAGGUAACUGUUAUUGAUACCAGUUCGUCUGGGUGGAAGGUCGUGAAGUUCGUGUAUCGGAAGCAAAAUGUUUGGAAACUCAGAGAGAGGAAACGAAAGUUAAGGUUAUUGGCUAAUAAGGAGAACAAUAACAUUCCUAAGGAAAAUGUAAUGAACAUUGGAGGAGAGAGGCCAAAACAAUUGGCCUGACUUUUCAUCCUAAAAAAGAAGCAAGUGCACUUAUUACAACCUUCUUUUGGUUAUUGGGUUUUCUUCUGAUGCUAUAACAACUAGGCUAUUCUGGUAGGAAGGAUUUGAAGAUUAGGGAAUGUAAGGAAAUUGAUGAGGUAACUUUCUGUCUUCAAAUAAUUUGUACCAAACAUAGCUAUAAAUUCCAGCACUCAAUGUUUAUGAACUGAGAAUAUUUUUUGUUGGAUUACUUACUGAGAAUAUACCAUCAUGCAUUGAAUAUACCAUCAUGCAC
This 604-nucleotide long non-coding RNA is filed under the name Lupinus mutabilis. Its description in RNAcentral is "partial ncRNA". Lineage: Eukaryota; Viridiplantae; Streptophyta; Magnoliopsida; Fabales; Fabaceae. The record is from RNAcentral.